CAGCACCCCGAGUGGUCGGGACGAUUAUUGGGCCUAAAGCAUCCGUAGCCGGUUCUACAAGUCUUCCGUUAAAUCCACCUGCUUAACAGAUGGGCUGCGGAGGAUACUAUGGAGCUAGGAGGCGGGAGAGGCAAGCGGUACUUAGUGGGUAGGGGUAAAAUCCGUUGAUCCAUUGAAGACCACCAGUGGCGAAGGCGGCUUGCCAGAACGCACUCGACGGUGAGGGAUGAAAGCUGGGGGAGCAAACCGG
This 250-nucleotide ribosomal RNA is filed under the name uncultured bacterium. RNAcentral describes it as "partial 16S ribosomal RNA". It matches the Rfam family "Archaeal small subunit ribosomal RNA", at positions 477 to 727 of the family's 1478-position model. The record is from RNAcentral.